Molecule: microRNA, 22 nt
Filed under: Glycine max (soybean)
Lineage: Eukaryota; Viridiplantae; Streptophyta; Magnoliopsida; Fabales; Fabaceae
Description: gma-miR5777
Source: miRBase by way of RNAcentral
CUAGCAAUAAUGUUGGAUGCAC